This is a non-coding RNA of Meleagris gallopavo (turkey), 3197 nucleotides long. NCBI's taxonomy places the organism in Eukaryota, Metazoa, Chordata, Aves, Galliformes, Phasianidae. The record is from RefSeq and is a predicted model, not a curated record.
AAGAAAAGUGUUGAAGGUUUACAGCCAGUUGGCCCGUAAUGAGGCGGCAGCCUUGAGGCAAGGGUAGGGAGAUAGUAGAUGGGUCUAACAGAGAAAAAAAAAACAAAAACAGAGCAAUGGCAACGAUCUGAGGAGGAACAUUAGUUUACUAAAUGCAGUAAAAUCAAACACAGUGAGAGUGUCCGAAGCCUUACGCUGUAGACUGCAGAGGGAGCCACGUGCUUCUGCGCAGCGAAACUGAAAGAAUAUGUGAGAGGGAGAGAGGCCGCUGUCCUGCCAGGUGCUCCACCUUUCUUGCUCUGGGCAAAAGCAAGAGAACUUCUUACCUCUGGGGAAUGCCACUUCUCCCCUUCCUUCUGAGAACCAAAAUGCCCAAAAAGGCAGCCCACAGAACCAGAACGUUAACUUGUGAACUCCCUAUGCUGUCCACGAUGUUAUGAUGUGGAAUACCAUCAAGAAAAAUCACAAAACCACAACAAGAGCUUAUGGGUGAAAAUCAGGGGUCGGUCCAGUGAAGGGCAUCUAGUGGUCGGGGUCUGCUACAGGCCACCUGAUCAGGGGGAGCCUGCUGACGAGGCCUUCUUGCUUCAGCUGCAGGAGGUGCCGCAUUUGCGGGCUCUUAUCCUGAUGGGGGAUUUCAACCACCCAGAUCUCUGCUGGGAUAGCAGCACGGCAGGUGGCAGACAAGCCAGGAGAUUCCAGGAUUACUUCCUCGUCCAGGUACUAGGCGGACCGACCCGAGGUGAAGCCCUACUCAGCAUGGAGCUCACCAGUGCAGAGGUGAGCGUUAGAGAAGUUAAGAUUGGAGGCAGCCUGAGCUGUCGUGACCAGGCCCUGGUGGAGUUUGUGCUCUGGAGGAAUGCAGGCUUGGCAAAAAACAGAAUCAGCAUCCUGAACUUCAGGAGAGCAAACUUCCAGCUGCUCAAGGAACUGCUGGAUGGGAUCUCCUGGAAAGCUGUCUUUAAGGGCAUAGAAAGAGAAUGCAGCCGGCAGCUCCUUAAAGACACCCUUCUGCCAGCGCAAGAAAUCUCCAUCUCCCAGCAGAAGAAAUGGAGCAGAGGAGACGGGCAAUCAGCAUGGCUGAGCAAGGACCCGCAGCUGAAACUGAUGGAGAAGAGAGACGUGUCCAGGAAGUGGAAGCAGGGUUGUGUAGCCUGGGAAGAACAUAGGAACACUGUUUGCAUGUGUAGAGAUAGGAUCAGGAAAACCUAUGCCCCCCCCAGGAGUUGUUCUUGGGGCUGGUGCUCUUCCCCACUUUUAUCAGUGACACAGACGAUGGCAUCAAGUGCAUCCUCAGCAAGGUUGCAGACAACACCAAGCUGAGCAGUGCCAUCAAUCCGCUGGAGGGAAGGGAAGCCACCCAGAGGGGCCUGGAUGGGCUGGAGAAGUGAGUGGGCUCCCAUGAACCUCAUGAGGUUCAACAAGGCCAAAUGCAAGGUGUUGCACUUGGGCCGGGGCAACCGCAGCUAUUUCUAUAGACUGGGGGAGGAUCUCCUUGAGAGCAGCCCUGCGGAGAAGGACUCGGGGGUCCUGGUAGACAAGAAGCUGGACGUGAGCCGGCAGUGUGCCUUUACAGCCCAGCUGUCUAUCAUCUGUGAAACCUCAUGGAGAACAGGAAAGAUGCCUGAAGGUUGGAGGAUAGCCAACGUCAUUCCAAUCUUCAAAAAGGUCAGGAGGGAGGUCUCAGGAAACUAUAGGCCAGUCAGGCUCACAUCCAUCCCUGGGAAAGUGUUGGACGAACUCGUUCUGGAUAUCAUCUCAAAGCAGGUGGGGAAAAAGAAGGGUUAUCCAGAGUAGUAAACUUGGAUUUACUACAAAAAGAUCAUGCCUGACUACUACCGGGGUAGCCUUUGUAGAUGUCAGGAGUGGCUGGGUAGCUGCCUUAGUAAUCCUUAAUGCUGGACCUGGCAAACGUUUCGAAUCGCAGGAUCCUGGGAUGGCUUGGGUUGGAAGAACACUGAAAUCUAUCCAGUUCCAAACUCCUGCAGUGUGUUGGUUGCCACCCACUAGAUCAGGCUGCCUGGAGCCCUGUCCAGUGAGGCCUUGAACAUCUCCUCCGCAGAGGGCGGCUCUCCCAUCAGCGUUGGCCUGACUUUCAUGCAGAAGCUGACUUUCAUGGUUCAUCCAGGCUGGAUGAGCAGGGAUGCUCCAGUGUGACUCCAGGACUGCAGCCCUGGGCAAGGGACGACUCCUCUUCUGUCUCUGGCAUGGUGACCAUUGCCAGCAGGCCAAAGAAAGCAAACCUCACAAGUUUUCCUGACUCAUUUUAUGUGCAGACUUGAAGGGAAUCGUGCCCUGCCUAUGCCACUUUGCCUCUGGGAACUGUAUAAGGCUUGAAGCUUUGAUGUGUGAAGACGUGGAUGGGAAAGGAUCAUAAAACCCAUCCAACCCCAAGUGCCUGCUGCGGAAGCGCUGCCACCCAGCAGGUCAGGUUAGAAGAGGGCCCUGUCCAACAUGGCCUGGAGCGCCUGCACCCACAGCUUCUCUGGGCAGCUGUGCCAAGGCCUCACCACCUUCCGAGUGAGGAAUUCCCUCUCGCAGUUCACCAGACCUCCUCUUUUCUCAGGUCAAAACCUUGUCCUGCCACCAUCAGGCGAUGGAAAGUUGGUCAGCAUACACACACUCGAGAUGCCGGCUGUGCUGUUGACCCGCAGACCUUUCUUAGACUCUCUGCUGCGACGUCCCAGCACGGGCGCACUGCAAAAGGCCUGAGGGAGGCCAUCCUUGUUCCCUGCUGAUGGCAGCACCAAGCCCCUCACUCUGCGCUGCCCACAGGAGCCGCCGCCCUGCCGCGCCCUCAGCCUGGUGGUGAGGUGGUGACAGUGAUGUCACAGUGGUGGCCAUUGUGACCCGCGGGCCGGGAGCAGAGCAAAGGCUGCCGGGCUGGAGCCCUGCUCAUUGCGGCCUGGUGAGGCGUGGAGAGAGCAGGGACUUUCUCGACUCUCUUGUUUCUCACUGUUGAUGCCGAACAUGUCUGAAGGAAAAGAGGAGGCCCCCAACUCCGGGGAGCCAGUGUGCGUGCUGUGCCACUGCGCACAGGUGAACCCGGACAUCUGUGGGCGGACAUUUGCCAGCGGUGGGCUCUGUGCCCACGAAUUCUGCUUGGUCUUUGCCAAUGGGCUUUUUGAAUGGAGAUGCCCAGUGGGGGGAAUUUUUGGCUUCCCCAUUGGCGCCAUCCAGCGCACAGUCCAGCUGGC